CACGUAGGGCGCAAGCGUUGUCCGGAAUUAUUGGGCGUAAAAAGCUCGUAGGCGGUCUGUUGCGUCCGCUGUGAAAACUCGGGGCUUAACCCCGAGCCUGCAGUGGAUACGGGCAGACUAGAGGUAGGUAGGGGAGAAUGGAAUUCCCGGUGUAGCGGUGAAAUGCGCAGAUAUCGGGAGGAACACCGGUGGCGAAGGCGGCCUUCUGGACAGUGACUGACGCUGAGACGCGAAAGCGUGGGGAGCAAACAGG
This 253-nucleotide ribosomal RNA is filed under the name uncultured bacterium. Its description in RNAcentral is "partial 16S ribosomal RNA". It matches the Rfam family "Bacterial small subunit ribosomal RNA", at positions 524 to 776 of the family's 1533-position model. The record is from RNAcentral.